CCUACGGGUGGCAGCAGUGAGGAAUAUUGGUCAAUGGACGAGAGUCUGAACCAGCCAAGUAGCGUGAAGGAUGACUGCCCUAUGGGUUGUAAACUUCUUUUAUAUGGGAAUAAAAUGUUCCACGUGUGGGAGUUUGUAUGUACCAUAUGAAUAAGGAUCGGCUAACUCCGUGCCAGCAGCCGCGGUAAUACGGAGGAUCCGAGCGUUAUCCGGAUUUAUUGGGUUUAAAGGGAGCGUAGGUGGAUUGUUAAGUCAGUUGUGAAAGUGUGCGGGUCAACCGUAAAAUUGCAGUUGAAACUGGCAGUCUUGAGUACAGUAGAGGUGGGCGGAAGUCGUGGUGUAGCGGUGAAAUGCUUAGAUAUCACGAAGAACUCCGAUUGCGAAGGCAGCUCACUGGACUGCAACUGACACUGAGGCUCGAAAGUGUGGGUAUCAAACAGGAUUAGAUACCCUUGUAGUC
This 460-nucleotide ribosomal RNA is filed under the name uncultured bacterium. Its description in RNAcentral is "partial 16S ribosomal RNA". It matches the Rfam family "Bacterial small subunit ribosomal RNA", at positions 338 to 795 of the family's 1533-position model. The record is from RNAcentral.